GGGCGUGUAGCUCAGCUGGUUAGAGCGCCAAACUGAUAAUUUGGAGGUCCGUGGUUCAAGUCCACGCACGCCCA
RNAcentral lists this transfer RNA (74 nucleotides) under Candidatus Nealsoniibacteriota bacterium. RNAcentral describes it as "Candidatus Nealsonbacteria bacterium tRNA-Ile". It matches the Rfam family "tRNA". Rfam says of the family: Transfer RNA (tRNA) molecules are approximately 80 nucleotides in length. Their secondary structure includes four short double-helical elements and three loops (D, anti-codon, and T loops). Further hydrogen bonds mediate the characteristic L-shaped molecular structure. tRNAs have two regions of fundamental functional importance: the anti-codon, which is responsible for specific mRNA codon recognition, and the 3' end, to which the tRNAs corresponding amino acid is attached (by aminoacyl-tRNA synthetases). tRNAs cope with the degeneracy of the genetic code in two manners: having more than one tRNA (with a specific anti-codon) for a particular amino acid; and 'wobble' base-pairing, i.e. permitting non-standard base-pairing at the 3rd anti-codon position. The record is from RNAcentral. Lineage: Bacteria; Candidatus Nealsoniibacteriota.